This 433-nucleotide ribosomal RNA is filed under the name uncultured bacterium. Its description in RNAcentral is "partial 16S ribosomal RNA". It matches the Rfam family "Bacterial small subunit ribosomal RNA", at positions 29 to 507 of the family's 1533-position model. The record is from RNAcentral.
AACGAACGCUGGCGGCAUGCCUAACACAUGCAAGUCGAACGAGACCUUCGGGUCUAGUGGCGCACGGGUGCGUAACGCGUGGGAACCUGCCCUUAGGUUCGGAAUAACUCCCCGAAAGGGGUGCUAAUACCGGAUAAUGUCUUCGGCCCAAAGAUUUAUCGCCUUUGGAUGGGCCCGCGUUGGAUUAGCUAGUUGGUAGGGUAAAAGCCUACCCAGGCGACGAUCCAUAGCUGGUCUGAGAGGAUGGUCAGCCACACUGGGACUGAGACACGGCCCAGACUCCUACGGGAGGCAGCAGUGGGGAAUAUUGGACAAUGGGCGAAAGCCUGAUCCAGCAAUGCCGCGUGAGUGAUGAAGGCCUUAGGGUUGUAAAGCUCUUUUACCCGGGAUGAUAAUGACAGUACCGGGAGAAUAAGCUCCGGCUAACUCCGUG